AUUGAACGCUGGCGGCAGGCCUAACACAUGCAAGUCGAGCGGAAACGAAGAGUAGCUUGCUACUCUGGCGUCGAGCGGCGGACGGGUGAGUAAUGCUUGGGAACAUGCCUUGAGGUGGGGACAACAGUUGGAAACGACUGCUAAUACCGCAUAAUGUCUACGGACCAAAGGGGGCUUCGGCUCUCGCCUUUAGAUUGGCCCAAGUGGGAUUAGCUAGUUGGUGAGGUAAUGGCUCACCAAGGCGACGAUCCCUAGCUGGUUUGAGAGGAUGAUCAGCCACACUGGGACUGAGACACGGCCCAGACUCCUACGGGAGGCAGCAGUGGGGAAUAUUGCACAAUGGGCGCAAGCCUGAUGCAGCCAUGCCGCGUGUGUGAAGAAGGCCUUCGGGUUGUAAAGCACUUUCAGUCAGGAGAAAGGGAUGUAGUUAUACCUGCAUCCUGUGACGUUACUG
This 454-nucleotide ribosomal RNA is filed under the name uncultured bacterium. Its description in RNAcentral is "bacterial SSU rRNA". It matches the Rfam family "Bacterial small subunit ribosomal RNA", at positions 30 to 480 of the family's 1533-position model. The record is from RNAcentral.